This 484-nucleotide ribosomal RNA is filed under the name uncultured bacterium. RNAcentral describes it as "partial 16S ribosomal RNA". It matches the Rfam family "Bacterial small subunit ribosomal RNA", at positions 30 to 507 of the family's 1533-position model. The record is from RNAcentral.
AUUGAACGCUGGCGGCAGGCCUAACACAUGCAAGUCGAGCGGAUGAAGGGAGCUUGCUCCUGGAUUCAGCGGCGGACGGGUGAGUAAUGCCUAGGAAUCUGCCUGGUAGUGGGGGAUAACGUCCGGAAACGGGCGCUAAUACCGCAUACGUCCUGAGGGAGAAAGUGGGGGAUCUUCGGACCUCACGCUAUCAGAUGAGCCUAGGUCGGAUUAGCUAGUUGGUGGGGUAAAGGCCUACCAAGGCGACGAUCCGUAACUGGUCUGAGAGGAUGAUCAGUCACACUGGAACAGAGACACGGUCCGGACUCCUACGGGAGGCAGCGGUGGGGAAUAUUGGAAAAUGGGCGAAGGCCUGAUCAAGCCAUGCCGGGGGGGGGAAGAAGUUUUUCGGAUUGUAAAGCACUUUAAGAGAGGAGAAAGGGCAGUAAGUUAGUACCUUGCUGUUUUGACGUUACCAACAGAAUAAGCACCGGCUAACUUCGUG